UUCAAAAUGGCAGAAUCUAUGCAAUGAAUUUAAAACUCAUUUAUGAAUAAAAUUAUUCCUUUGAAA
RNAcentral lists this transfer RNA (66 nucleotides) under Krisna nigromarginata. RNAcentral's name for it is "tRNA-Leu". Lineage: Eukaryota; Metazoa; Arthropoda; Insecta; Hemiptera; Cicadellidae. The record is from RNAcentral.